UGGCUCAGAAUAACGCUGGCGGCGUGCCUCAGACAUGCAAGUCGAACGCGAAAGUCCCCUUCGGGGGGCAAGUAGAGUGGCGCACGGGUGAGUAACACGUAGGUAAUCUACCUUUGGAUUGGGAAUAACCACCGGAAACGGUGGCUAAUACCGAAUAAUGCAGCGGCACCUAAUGGUGACAGUUGUUAAAGCGGGGGAUCGCAAGACCUCGCGUCUGAAGAGGAGCCUGCGGCAGAUUAGCUAGUUGGUAAGGUAACGGCUUACCAAGGCGAUGAUCUGUAGCCGGCCUGAGAGGGCGGUCGGCCACACUGACACUGACAUACGGGUCAGACUCCUACGGGAGGCAGCAGUCGGGAAUUUUGGGCAAUGGGCGAAAGCCUGACCCAGCAACGCCGCGUGAAGGAUGAAAUCCCUCGGGAUGUAAACUUCGCAAGAACGGGAAGAAUAAGUAAGGGUUAAUAUCUCUUACGAUGACGGUACUGUUUGUAAGCUCCGGCUAACUCCGUGCCAGCAGCCGCGGUAAUACGGGGGGAGCAAGCGUUGUUCGGAUUUACUGGGCGUAAAGGGCGCGUAGGCGGCCACCGCAAGUCGACUGUGAAAUCUCCGGGCUUAACCCGGAACGGUCAGCCGAUACUGCGGGGCUAGAGUGCAGAAGGGGCAACUGGAAUUCUCGGUGUAGCGGUGAAAUGCGUAGAUAUCGAGA
Molecule: ribosomal RNA, 703 nt
Filed under: uncultured bacterium
Lineage: Bacteria
Description: bacterial SSU rRNA
Rfam family: Bacterial small subunit ribosomal RNA
Source: RNAcentral